AGAGGUGGCAAGCGUUGUUCGGAAUUACUGGGCGUAAAGGGCGCGUAGGCGGUCACCUAAGUCGGACGUGAAAUCCCCAAGCUUAACUUGGGAACUGCAUCUGAUACUGGGUGACUUGAGUUCGGGAGAGGAAUGUGGAAUUCCAGGUGUAGCGGUGAAAUGCGUAGAUAUCUGGAGGAACACCGGUGGCGAAGGCGGCAUUCUGGACCGAAACUGACGCUGAGGCGCGAAAGCCAGGGGAGCAAACGGGAUUAGAUACCCCGGUAGUCCUGGCCCUAAACGAUGAGUGCUUGGUGUGGCGGGUAUCGAUCCCUGCCGUGCCGAAGCUAACGCAUUAAGCACUCCGCCUGGGGAGUACGGUCGCAAGGCUG
This 371-nucleotide ribosomal RNA is filed under the name uncultured bacterium. RNAcentral describes it as "bacterial SSU rRNA". It matches the Rfam family "Bacterial small subunit ribosomal RNA", at positions 527 to 896 of the family's 1533-position model. The record is from RNAcentral.